RNAcentral lists this transfer RNA (88 nucleotides) under Methanobacteriota archaeon. Its description in RNAcentral is "Euryarchaeota archaeon tRNA-Leu". It matches the Rfam family "tRNA". From Rfam's summary of the family: Transfer RNA (tRNA) molecules are approximately 80 nucleotides in length. Lineage: Archaea; Methanobacteriati; Methanobacteriota. RNAcentral also lists the same sequence under 3 other names. The record is from RNAcentral.
GCGGGGGUCGCAUAGCCUGGCCAAUUGUGCCGGACUUAAGAUCCGGUUCCUCAGGGAUUCGUCGGUUCGAAUCCGACCCCCCGCACCA